GUAGGGUGCGAGCGUUAAUCGGAAUUACUGGGCGUAAAGCGUGCGCAGGCGGUAAGUUAAGUCUGAUGUGAAAGCCCCGGGCUCAACCUGGGAAUGGCAUUGGAAACUGGCUUGCUGGAGUGUGGCAGAGGGGGGUGGAAUUCCGCGUGUAGCAGUGAAAUGCGUAGAGAUGCGGAGGAACACCGAUGGCGAAGGCAGCCCCCUGGGCCAACACUGACGCUCAGGCACGAAAGCGUGGGGAGCAAACAGGAUUAGAUACCCUGGUAGUCCACGCCCUAAACGAUGUCAACUGGGUGUUGGGGAAGCGAUUCCUUGGUACCGUAGCUAACGCGUGAAGUUGACCGCCUGGGGAGUACGGYCGCAAGGUUA
This 369-nucleotide ribosomal RNA is filed under the name uncultured bacterium. Its description in RNAcentral is "bacterial SSU rRNA". It matches the Rfam family "Bacterial small subunit ribosomal RNA", at positions 527 to 896 of the family's 1533-position model. The record is from RNAcentral.